ACUGGGCUUCCGUUAAGUGUAUAUAAGUAGCUGCGUUUCUCUGCUAGAACCUCCAAACAAGCUCUCAAGGCCCAUUUGUAGAAGGGACCCUAUUACCAAAGA
Cricetulus griseus (Chinese hamster) is the source of this 102-nucleotide unclassified non-coding RNA. Its record names the gene 7SK. It matches the Rfam family "7SK RNA". From Rfam's summary of the family: 7SK was discovered as an abundant small nuclear RNA in the mid-70s but a possible function has only recently been suggested. Two independent studies have found that 7SK RNA binds the CDK9/cyclin T complex (known as elongation factor P-TEFb). Lineage: Eukaryota; Metazoa; Chordata; Mammalia; Rodentia; Cricetidae. The record is from Ensembl.